Molecule: ribosomal RNA, 468 nt
Filed under: uncultured bacterium
Lineage: Bacteria
Description: partial 16S ribosomal RNA
Rfam family: Bacterial small subunit ribosomal RNA
Source: RNAcentral
GACGAACGCUGGCGGCGUGCUUAACACAUGCAAGUCGAACGGAAAGGCCCUGCUUUUGUGGGGUGCUCGAGUGGCGAACGGGUGAGUAACACGUGAGUAACCUGCCCUUGACUUUGGGAUAACUUCAGGAAACUGGGGCUAAUACCGGAUAGGAGCUCCUGCUGCAUGGUGGGGGUUGGAAAGUUUCGGCGGUUGGGGAUGGACUCGCGGCUUAUCAGCUUGUUGGUGGGGUAGUGGCUUACCAAGGCUUUGACGGGUAGCCGGCCUGGGAGGGUGACCGGCCACAUUGGGACUGCGAUACGGCCCAGACUCCUACGUGAGGCAGCAGUGGGGAAUAUUGCACAGUGGGCGGAAGCCUGAUGCAGCAACGCCGCGUGCGGGAUGACGGCCUUCGGGUUGUAAACCGCUUUCGCCUGUGACGAAGCGUGAGUGACGGUAAUGGGUAAAGAAGCACCGGCUAACUACGUG